This is a long non-coding RNA of Salvelinus sp. IW2-2015, 461 nucleotides long. RefSeq lists it as uncharacterized. The transcript has 3 exons. The record is from RefSeq and is a predicted model, not a curated record. NCBI's taxonomy places the organism in Eukaryota, Metazoa, Chordata, Actinopteri, Salmoniformes, Salmonidae.
GCUAGCUAGUUCGAGAUUCUAGCUACAUACACACUAAAACGUUAGCUAUCCCAGUUAGCUUUCAAUGAAAACUCACCUUGAUAUAGAAACGUCCAUUCAAUGCACCUCGCAGAAAAUGUAUUAUUAAGCUACAUAAGCAGGCUAAAUGCUUGCUUGCAAACACAAUCACUUCACACGUUCAGCUAGCUAGCAACUUUCUCCUGCACGAGCGUGAGACAAGACAUGUCAGGCAUCAAGAGGGAGAUUGACGAGAAGGACCCAGAUUAUGAGGACAUCUCACUGGUUCAGGAGAACAAGCGACACAGUAGUGAAACAAAAUGACUUGCCAGUGAGGGAAGCUACAGUGUAGAAGAUUGAGGCCGUCAUCAAAGAUCAGUUCUCUUUGGAGAUGAAGAACAAAGAACAUGAGAUGGAAGUGAUUGGACAGGUUACUGUUGACCUCAGCUACAGAAUGAGUAUCA